Molecule: ribosomal RNA, 464 nt
Filed under: uncultured bacterium
Lineage: Bacteria
Description: partial 16S ribosomal RNA
Rfam family: Bacterial small subunit ribosomal RNA
Source: RNAcentral
GACGAACGCUGGCGGCGUGCUUAACACAUGCAAGUCGAACGGUAAGGCCCCAGCUUGCUGGGGUACACGAGUGGCGAACGGGUGAGUAACACGUGGGUGACCUGCCCCGCACUUCGGGAUAAGCCUGGGAAACUGGGUCUAAUACCGGAUAGGACCGCACCGUGAGGGUGUGGUGGAAAGUUUUUCGGUGUGGGAUGGGCCCGCGGCCUAUCAGCUUGUUGGUGGGGUAAUGGCCUACCAAGGCGGCGACGGGUAGCCGGCCUGAGAGGGUGGACGGCCACAUUGGGACUGGGGAAAGGGCCAGGAUCCUACGGGGGGCAGGAGGGGGGAAUAUUGCACAAUGGGCGGAAGCCUGAUGCAGCGACGCCGCGUGGGGGAUGACGGCCUUCGGGUUGUAAACUCCUUUCACCAUCGACGAAGGUUUUCUGACGGUAGAUGGAGAAGAAGCACCGGCUAACUACGUG